GAGAGAGAGAGAGAGAGAGAGAGAGAGAGAGAUGGAGAGUCCAGGGGUGAAGAACCUUGGGAGACACAUACCACCUUCCCCCCUUUCCUUUAUUUUCCAAAACCAGCAACUUGUCCACUUCAUUUUGAUUUUGGUAUGCACUGAAUCCACCCCCUUUCAUUCUUAUUUCAAAAACUCAGACUUACAAAAACAACAUUCCCCCAUUUUCCAUCUUUCCAAACAGAAACCAAAGUUUUCAUCUUUUCUUUAUAAAAAUUCCACAGUCUAAACCAUUAAUAUUUCCUUUGGUGUUGAUGGGUUCUUCCCCUUUUCUCAAUGGUUGUUGAGUGGAACAGCUCAAGAGAAAAAUAUCUGAUUUGCUAAUUUAUUUCUCUUGGUUGGAAAGUGAUUGAGAUAUGCAAAGAAUAUAUCAGCUGCAUCUAUAUCCUCUUUCUUAUUAUCUAUCUGGUAAAUCUUCUUCUUCAUCUCAGUCCCAACACCACCAGAGGCUACAACAUCACAGUUGGAUCAUUGGUGAUGAUGUUUCAUGGUUCUGAAGUUCUAUAAAGCUUGCUUCUUUUUCCCCACAAACUGAGAGAGAGAGAGAGAGAGAGAGAGAGAGAGAGAGAGAGAGAGAGAGAGAGAGAAUUUGAGAUCCAUUAAUCAUCAAGUCCUGAAAAAAGCUUCAAACUUUUGGGUAAAGUUGAGCAGAGAAUUCGGGGAUCUUGUUCUUGUUCUGUUCAUUCCACAUUUGAACCCUAGAUCCUUCUGAUUGAGUUCAAAAUCCAGUUUAUUCAGAUUCAAGUCAAAUCUCCCAAGAUUUGAACACAAUAAUUUAGCAGCAUUUCAGCUUCUGGGUUUUAAUCUUUCAUCAAUCUUCUUGUUAAAGAUCAAACCUUCCAAGCCAGCAAGUCUUGAGUUUUGAGCUUCCAGUCACCACCAUUGUCAAAAUCUUGGUCAACUCCCCUCUGGGUUUUGCCAUUUGAAUCGGUCUGCAGCUGGAAUCUGAAUCCUGCUGUUGGGUUCUUCUAAAGAAGAAAACUUGGCAGGAGGGAACCAUUUUUAAAUGAGAGCUAUUGAAGUUUCUGGAUCAAAUCUGAGGCUACCAAAACCAAUAAUCAAUCUUGAAGAUCAUUGUUCAAAAAAUCUUACAAUGGAUCCAAGAAAAAGAAAACCAGCUCUGAAUCACAACGUUCCUCCGUUAGAGAAAAAGAAAAUAGAGUUCUACAACAGAUCAUUCUCACAAGGAAGCUCAAGAAAAUUAUUACCAGCAAACUAUUUCAGCUUGGAGUCAUUGCUUUUACUUUCAUGUUUAACAGCUUCACUGCUGAUUCUUCCACUGAUUCUGCCGCCAUUGCCGCCUCCGCCAUUCCUGCUUCUGCUGGUUCCUAUUGGGAUCUUGGCUCUGCUCAUGGUGUUGGCUUUCAUGCCUGGUAAUAUCAGGGAUGUCACCUAUACGUAUAUGUAAAUGGUGUACGGAGAGGAAGAACACAGAGAGAACAAAAAAAAAAAAGAUAUGUUCAUUUCUUUCUUUUUCAUUUAUCAUACAAUUUUGCAAUUGUCUUUAUAUGUUGGAUUAAGAAAUUUAGAAGCAAAAAGGAAAAAGAUUACUUCAA
Carica papaya (papaya) is the source of this 1595-nucleotide long non-coding RNA. RefSeq lists it as uncharacterized. The record is from RefSeq and is a predicted model, not a curated record. NCBI's taxonomy places the organism in Eukaryota, Viridiplantae, Streptophyta, Magnoliopsida, Brassicales, Caricaceae.